RNAcentral lists this long non-coding RNA (1187 nucleotides) under Mytilus galloprovincialis (Mediterranean mussel). The record is from RNAcentral. Lineage: Eukaryota; Metazoa; Mollusca; Bivalvia; Mytilida; Mytilidae.
AUGAAAUAAAAAAAAUCAAUAUGUAUCAAAACAUAAUUUGAAGCAGUGAACCAUAAAUGUUUUUGACUAUUAUAACCCCCUUGUUUUGUUUGUUAUGUUCAUUUCGUAUUUAUUUCAUGAUAGCAGGUUCACACUAUAUCGGUAUCUCAUGAAUUAAAUACAAAAUGUACCACUCGGUGUCACCAACUGUUGGGACAAAAGCAAUUUUAUAUAAUUAAAGUCAGUAUUUUUAAUUUGAAUUGUGGAAAUCACCUUCUUAUGAAUUCAGAAAAGCAAAAUCUCUUGUAAUUCAAGUUCCCUUGGGAAAUGAAAAAUUCAAAAAUAUCCCAUCACAGUACCUCAUAUGAACUAGGGUCAUUGACCAACUAAAGGGAAUGGCCACAACGGUAAUCUCUGUUUUUACAGUAAAUGAGUUAAUUUAUUCUACAUUAGAGGUACGAAUUGGGGAGAUGAUUAGAAUAGCAGAUAAUAUACCAGUUGACCUUCACACACAACUUUUUGUAUGGAAUUUUUAUCUACUAGCUUUCAACUAUCAAUUCUGAUAUCAUACACGAUUUAUCAUAUCUGCAUAUCAAUGCGCAUCAUCAAACCCCAGGGACAAAUGGACGGUUAUUUGAUUAUAGUUGGAUACACAGAUGGUAGUAAUAUUUUUCUAUUAAAUCAUAACAAAUAUUUUCAUUAUCAGCUAUUCUUAUUAAUUCUGUAGCUCAACAGGAAAUAAUCUUUCAGUCUUUAAAGUGUCAUAACACUGCAAAAAGUUAAAGGUCAGGUGAAACAUAUUUGACCUUAUAAUGGGUGCAUGCAUUUAACUUUAAAAUGCUUUUAAAAAUACAUGCAUAGUUCAGGGUUAUGGGGUAAUAGACUGCCAUUUUGUAACAGGCUAUGAUACUAAUUUGUGAUCUUUUACAUUUGUAGAUUUUGGAAGUUAUUGUAAGGAUACAGGAUAGAUAUAAAUUUCGGCCUUACGAACAUUCCAAUAUAUUUCCUGUGGAUAUGAAGUCUCUGAAUGUUAGGGAAAUUGGACAUCCAUGGAACAACUCAAUAAUUAAAAUAAAACCAGUUGCAUAGAGGAUAAAGCCUCUUAUGCGUUUUUGGAGUUCAAUGUCCUGACUGUUUUUUUUUUAAUGACUUAAGAAAAAUAACAAGCUGAUAAAUUAUGACAACUAAAUAAUUGAUUUAAGUCCAUC